Long non-coding RNA from Odocoileus virginianus texanus, 569 nucleotides. RefSeq lists it as uncharacterized. The record is from RefSeq and is a predicted model, not a curated record. NCBI's taxonomy places the organism in Eukaryota, Metazoa, Chordata, Mammalia, Artiodactyla, Cervidae.
UGGGUUGCCAUUUCCUACUCCAUCGGUAAUAUGUAGCCCUCUCAAAAAGGCAUAAGCCUUGAUAAGUCACAGAUCUAGAAUGGAGAGCCAGUUUAUGAUUGACUUAUCUUUUGCACGGAUCUUCUCAAACAUUAAGAGCUUCAUUGACUUAUUGCCUGGUAAAUGGACCAGCCUUCUCAAUCACAGUCUGAACCUAGAAUGAUGGGGUGUUCGUCUCAGCCAACUGCCAUUCUACACAUGAUAUAACUACAGGAUGUACUGUUACUCGAUAGAGGGAUGUUGACUCAGCCUUCCUCAGUGACAGUCUCAGGAACACUGACAGUGCCUUCAAUUGUGUUACAUCACCUCUACUAAGUGGCCGCUGGGAAUACUUCCUGACAUCUCAUGUAUGGGUUAGUAAUUUCUCCUAUUUAUAUUCUCUCCUAGACCUUGCUUUUCUCUGCUUGAAAUUUUUCUGUUGGAAAAUGCACUUAAAUUAUAGUUUGUCCCAUUCCCUGACCCUACUGAACUGGGAGCAUAUACCUUCUCUCAAUCUGGUCCUAUAUGAACUUCAUCUUCCAGAAAGAUAA